UGUAGGUCUGGCAAUUGGAAUGAGAACAAUUUAAACCCCUUAUCGAGGAACAAUUGGUGGGCAAGUCUGGUGCCAGCAGCCGCGGUAAUUCCAGCUCCAAUAGCGUAUAUUAAAGUUGUUGCAGUUAAAAAGCUCGUAGUUGGAUUUCUGGCGGUGUGACUCCGGCCGGCAUGACGUCGGGUCCAGAGCGCGCCACCAUCCUUCUGUCAACCUUCGCGGGAUUCGCUUCCCGCGAUGUGGGCUCAGAUAUUUUACCUUGAGAAAAUUAGAGUGUUUCAGGCAGGCUUUCGCCGGGAUACAUUAGCAUGGAAUAAUAGAAAAGGACUUCAACCUCUUCUGUUGGUCUGAGGGGCUGUAGUAAUGAUUAAUAGGGAUAGUUGGGGGCAUUAGUACUUGACUGUCAGAGGUGAAAUUCUCCGAUUUGUUAAAGACUAACUUAUGCGAAAGCAUUUGCCAAGGAUGUUUUCAUUAAUCAAGAACGAAAGUUAGGGGAUCAAAGACGAUCAGAUACCGUCCUAGUCUUAACCAUAAACUAUGCCGACUCGGGAUC
RNAcentral lists this ribosomal RNA (550 nucleotides) under uncultured ciliate. RNAcentral's name for it is "bacterial SSU rRNA". It matches the Rfam family "Eukaryotic small subunit ribosomal RNA", at positions 495 to 1054 of the family's 1831-position model. Lineage: Eukaryota; Ciliophora. The record is from RNAcentral.